CCUACGUGAGGCAGCAGUGGGGAAUAUUGCACAAUGGGGGGAACCCUGAUGCAGCGACGCCGCGUGAGUGAAGAAGUAUUUCGGUAUGUAAAGCUCUAUCAGCAGGGAAGAAAAUGACGGUACCUGACUAAGAAGCCCCGGCUAACUACGUGCCAGCAGCCGCGGUAAUACGUAGGGGGCAAGCGUUAUCCGGCUUUACUGGGUGUAAAGGGAGCGCAGACGGCUGUGCAAGUCUGGAGUGAAAGGCGGGGGCCCAACCCCCGGACUGCUCUGGAAACUGUAAAGCUGGAGUGCAGGAGAGGUAAGCGGAAUUCCUAGUGUAGCGGUGAAAUGCGUAGAUAUUAGGAGGAACACCAGUGGCGAAGGCGGCUUACUGGACUGCAACUGACGUUGAGGCUCGAAAGCGUGGGGAGCAAACAGGAUUAGAUACCCCAGUAGUC
RNAcentral lists this ribosomal RNA (440 nucleotides) under uncultured bacterium. RNAcentral describes it as "partial 16S ribosomal RNA". It matches the Rfam family "Bacterial small subunit ribosomal RNA", at positions 338 to 795 of the family's 1533-position model. The record is from RNAcentral.